GGAGGAUAUGAAAAUAGUUGCGACGGGUGUAUGUUGCCAAUCUCGGAUCCGUUUUACUACUGUUCAGAAUGUGCUUUUUUUCUUCAUAAAGCGUGUGCCGAGUUACCUAAGAUGAAGAAUGUUUGGUAUCAUGAUUGCAAAGAGCCUCUAGCCCUUAUUUCUGACAAAGCUUUUUAUUGUCGACGAUGUUGGGGCAUAUCUAAUGCCUUUGGUUAUGAAUGUUGUGGAUGUGAGGAAAAAAUAUGUCUCCGAUGUGUGAUUGCUCUUACUCCUGGUGCUCGAACUUGUUUGAAACAUGAACACCCCAUCUUUUACUACACAAAGCACAAUGGGAAAUGCAAUGCUUGUGGUAGGACUACACAGUCGGCAUUCUGUUGUAAGGAUUGCAAUUUUGUGCUACAUCUUCGUUGUUUUUCACUUCCAAUUAUAGCUCGUCACAAAUGCGAUGAGCAUCUUCUUUCACUCACUGAUCAUGAUGAUAACUGUUAUUCAGAAAAUCAUUAUUGUGAUAUCUGUGAAGAAAGUCGAGAUCCAAAUCAUUGGUUUUAUAAUUGUUCAACAUGUGAUACUUCUGCUCAUGUUAAUUGUGUUCUUGGACCAUAUCCAUUCCUCAAACUCGGGAGCAUUCAUGAAGGAAAUGAUCAUCCACACCCACUCACCAUUGUGAAGAAGAAGUAUUACUACCCAGAUUGUGAUAAAUGUGGUAGGGCUUGUGUAGAUGUGGCUCUUGAAUGCUCAAAGUCGGAGUGCAAAUAUAUUGUCCACUGGGAUUGUGUGGUACCCUAUAGUCUACGGAGUUUUUGGGGGCUGUUCGAGUAGUAAUUCAGAUGUAAUCAUAUUUGAAAUCUGCCACUUCAUUUGCAGGAAAACUCAAGAAUGGAAAACAGGGUUUGAUCUUUGUCAUGUUACUUGUGAUAGUAGUUAUUGUUGUAACUGUAAUUUGGUUUUUUCGACUUUUUAAGUUAUAAAUAAAUGUCAUGUAAAAAUCUGAGCUGAAACUUGUGAGGUUUGAUUGUUGAUUUUAGAAUUUCUUAUAAUUUGGGAGUGUGAUUGUGCGUCUGUAACAGAUAAACUGAAAUUACUACAGUUCCAAAUAAAAUUGAAGGAUUAGUGUAUUCUUUUUUCCAUAAAAAAUAUAUAUUAAGACAAAAAAGAAAAUGCAAAGCCGAGAAAGGUCAUCAUCCACACAAUUUCACAACAGCUCAAACCAGUAAUCAAUGGAAGGAGUGAUUAUGGCCCAAACACUGCAAUAGCUUAACCAAGAAUGACAAUAAACAUGGAUCCCAUCUGCCCGCUUCGACUUUGGGAUUCAACAUGUGAUACUUCUGCUCAUGUUUGUUGUGUUCUUGGAAAUUAUUUAUUCCUCAAACUCAAGAGCCUUUAUGAAGAAAAUGAUCAUCCACACCCACUCACCAUUGUGAAGAAGAAGUAUUACUACUCAGAUUGUGAUAAAUGCGGUGAGCCUUGUGUAGAUGUGGCUCUUGAAUGCUCAAAGUCGGAGUGCAAAUAUAUUGUCCACUGGUAUUGUGUAACACCUGUUCAUCUACGGAGUUAUUGGGCGUGGUACAAGUGGUAAUUCAGAUGUAAUCAUAUUUGAAAUCUGCCACUUCAUUUGCAGGAAAACUCAAGGCUGGAAAACAGGGCUACUUGUGAUAUUAGUUAUUGUUGCAACUGUAAUUUGGUUUUUCUGACUUUUUAAGUUUUAAAUAAAUGUCAUGUAAAAAUCUGGAGCUGAAAGUUGUGAGGUUUGACUAUUGAUUGUACUUUUUAAGUUUUAGAAUUUCUUGGUUUCCUUAUAUAAGCUUUUUCUGAAAUUAUUUCUCUGUUGCUGCAAUAAAAUUAGGUUUAACGUUUAGCUCAAUGUAUUAGAUAAAGUAAGAAGGACCUGUCGCCUUCAAAAAACCAAACAUGUCUUUUAAUGAUAUAUUUCGCAUAUUAAAAUAUUAUUGCAGAAAUUGAUUAAAAAACUGAUUAAACAAACUUUGGGAUUCCAUUCCCCACACCUAAUGUUUUAGCUAUUUUUCCAUCUCUUUUUCACUCUCUUAUAUCACAACCUCGUAUCUAAUUUCCUUGCUUGUCUUGUCUUGUCUGGGAUGGGGUUGGAGUUUAGAGAAGUUGAGAGAACAAAAUACAGAGAAAACAAAGAAAAAUACUCAGCAGAAAUUUUUUGACUGCUAUCAAAUUUUCAUUCAACAAGAAAUACAAUAUAUAUACACGGGUGUAGUGGUUACAAGAAAGUCAACAAACCUCACUAAUACACUUUGAAAAUACAAAUACAUAGCUUGUACAUAAACAUCAAAUCAUCACUAAUUCUGCUUAUCUAACAAGUGACCUUAGCAAGCAGACUAAUACAAAAAUCAUCAGCAGCAUAUGCGAACCUUUCUUCAAAUACAUCAAGUGGUUCGCCAACAACACAUAAGCCCACACUCUGAUGAGCUCGCUACUAGACUGAGCUUGCAGCUUUGGUGGAGCUUGCAGCUUUGGUGAGCUCACAAUUUCAUAGGAAGAGUUCGCCACUACAGAAAUGACCACUUCGCAACACUCCUCCUUGGCCAUAAUGCUGUGAACUCCAAUAUCUUAUCUUAGCCUCUAUAACCUCAUUCUUCCAAGAGGUUUUGUGAGAAUAUUAGCAAGUUGGACAUAUGAACUACAAUGAACCAGUUUCACCUCAUUCGAUUGCUCAACUUCUCUAGAAAGUCCUAGGUCUUAGGUAACAUUACUUGUAGGUCGUAGGACUUUUAUAGUAAGUGCAUUGGGCUCAUCGAGUUCCCAACAAAAACCAAGACAGCAAAGAAAUCUAACAGGCCUGGUCACAGAUGAGCUAUAGUGAUAAUUGAUUUAAUGUUGAUCCUACUAAUAUGAAUCCAUAUCCGACUAACCUAGUUUGACCAUAAAAAUUAACAAUUUAAAUCAGAAAUAACAAUAACACAAAAAGAUUUAAACCAGUCCGAAUCCCAAACCCAAGAUUCUUCAAAUUCUCAAAAUUAAAAUAUUCGAAUUAUUUUGAUUCGGGUUAGUUUCACGUUCAAAUCAAUUUUAAUUUCAGAUCAUUUCAAAAUUGAUCAUUUUAGACUAAUAUUGAAUGGUGUUGGGUUAUUUUUUUAGUCAAAUCGGGUUUUGAAAUUUUUGAAUCAUUUUGGUUCGGGUUAGUUUCAAGUUCAAAUCAUUUUAGGUUCAAGUCAUUGGUCUCGGAUAAUUCCGGGCUCAUAUUGAACGAUGUUGGAUAACUUUUUAGUCAAAUCGAGAUUAAAAUUUCUAAAUCAUUUUGGUUCAGGUUAGGUUCAAGUUAGUUUCAGGUUCAAAUCAAUUUCGGAUUUGAUCAUUUUGGGCUCAUAUUGAAUGGUGUUGGAUUAUCUUUUUUUGUCAAAUCAGGUUUUAAAUUUUCCAGAUCAUUUUGAUUCCAGUUAGUUUCAAGUUUAAAUCAAUUUUGAUUUCAGAUUUGAUCAUUUCAAGUUCAUAUAGAAUGGUGUUGGAUUAUUUUUUAAUCAAAUCGGGUUUUAAGAUUUUCAGAUCAUUUUCGUUCGAGUUAAUUCCCGGUUCAAAUCAAAUUCGAUUUCAGUUCAUUUUGAGCUCAUAUUUAACCGUGUUGGAUUAAUUUUUUUAAUCAAAUCAAACCAUAUAUAAUUUGUAUUCAAUUUGAUAAAAUCGAAUUUUUAAAUUCAAAUCAAAUUUAACCUAUCACACCAAUCACAAUUUUUUUAAAAAUAAAUAACUGAACCGAAUUGAAAUCAACCCCAAAUAUCUCUCCUAUAAAUUACUAGCCACUUUGUAAAUCUAGAUCUCUCUCCAUAGUAUUCAUUACCAAGGAAAAUGGCGACGGGUGGCAUGGAUGAAGCAAGCAACAUGAAGGUGGUACUGAAACACUAUGUAUCUGGUUCACCACAAGAAACCGAUAUGCAUUUGACAGCCGGAACCAUCAAACUCAAAGUACCAAAGGAUUCUAAUUCCAUCAUCCUCAAGAAUCUUUAUCUCUCAUGCGAUCCCUACAUGAUCUUCAAAAUGAUGAAGCUCGAACGACAAUUAACAGAUCCUUACGUCCUCGGUUCGGUAAUUUUAUUCACUUCCUUUCAUCUUCAUCAUCGUUAUCGUAAUCAAGUUUUAUUGUGUUUUGAUAUGCUUUUUUGUUUACCGUAUUGAAAAAAUCAAAAAUUUGAUAUUUGAAUUUCAACAUCCGUUAAAAUGAACCAUUGGAUGAUCUUAAAAAAGUGAAAUGUGAUUUGAUUUUUGUUUGAAUUUAGCCUACAAAUUCUCAACUACAUUAUCAAAGAUCCGAGAUUGUUUCAGUAAGUGUAGAAACUAAUUAAGCCUCAUAAAUUUCUAUCACCUUUUCAUUAUUAGCGAUGGAUAUUUAUAACAUUGCGUCGAGUAUCGAUUAUUUGGAAUAUAGAAAAUAAAUGCUGGAAGAGCUUUCAGAAUAAUUUAGAGUCCAAUGAGGGGGCACGCAGGGGCUCUCCCAUCCCUAAAAUAAGAAAUUGUUGCUUUAGACUCCUCAAAUUUAUAAAAUCGUAAGUUAAUAUAUAGUUUGGCCCUCCAAAAAUGCUAGAAUUUUGGUUUAUUUCUAUGUGAAACUUCAUUUUAACUCUUAUAAAUAUAUUUAACUUAACUUCGGCCUCUUAAAGCAGACACUAAUUAAAUUACUUUUAGACUCCUUGGAAAUUUAUAAAAUUAUAAAUUAAUAUAGUGAUAAUUUUAUCUUUUAACAGCAACGUGACUAGCACAACUCGAACCGAAGACACACCUGGGACGAUGAACACUUUAUCCAUCAGGCCAACACACAAUAUUCUUUUUACACUAGGUUCUUUAAUUUCAUUGCAAUAAGUGAACCAAAUAAUAACACUUCAUCAAAUUUUUUUAAAAUUAAAUUUAUUUAACUUCAUUUUUAAUGAUAUGUAAUCAUCGAUAGCGCCGGUAUGCAUAUUAUUAGUAAUUUGGAUACACAGACUAAUUUUAGCUCGAAUUUGCAGCCUAUAACUGGAUAUGGAGUGGCAAAAGUUUUGGAUUCAGCACAUCCUGGCUUUGCAAAGGAUGAUUUGGUGUGGGGAAUAACUGGUUGGGAAGAGUAUAGUCUAAUUUCAGACCCUAAAAAUUUCUUUAAAAUCCAACACACCGAUGUACCUCUUUCCUACUAUGCUGGAAUUCUUGGUAACUAUCAAUUCUCUUCUAUCUUAGGUUAAGGUUGUUCGGGAUUGAAUUGUUCUCUUCUAUCUAUAUACGUGUUAUAAUGUCAUUAGUUAGUCAAAAUACUUAAAAUCAUUAAUUGUUCAUGUUAAAUCGUUGAUAUUGAUUUUUCCUUAACAAUAAUCCUUCCAACAAAUAAAAGGUUCACGAUAGUAUGAUGAGUUGGAGGGGGUGUUUUUAAGAAGAGAAAAAGCCAUGUCAGCAACAUUUUAAUCAGAAUAGAUAAGUAUUUGACCUAAUCAAUGACACCAAAAAAUAGAAAUGCUAAACUGUGUUAAAUUAAAGUAUGAGGGUUAAAUUUACAAUUUGAGCAUAGUAGAAGGAUCAAAACCAUAAUUUGACCCAAAUCAUGGAAUGAAAUGGUUAAAUUCUACUAUUAGUCCCUAUACUUUGUUAAAGUUAUGAAUUUACUCCUUAUAUACUUUUAUUUGAUCAAUUUUAGUUCCAAUGCUUUUCAAAUUUGAAACUUUAGUCUUGACCCAAACAAUAGUAGUUAAAUUCGUUUAGUUAAAUUCAAUUACUAGUUCUAUACUAUAUGUGUGCAGUUGUAGAUUUAGUUCAUUUUUUCUAAUUGGAUCAUUCCAAGUCUAUAUAUUUUUCGAAUUUGAAAUUUCAAUCUUGACACAAAUGACAAUCAUUAAUCUAUUAACUAGAUUUUUAGUGAGUAAUAUUUGAAAAUAAUAAGCUGAUAUAGCAUUACACAUAUGAUAAUAAGUUUGGUACAUCAGAUUUUAAAAAUAGCAGAACUUAAUAAAAAAAUGUAACCAAAGGAAAUCUAAGAACAUAUAAGAACAAAUGCAUAAAAUAGGGAAUUGAUAUAUAAUAAAAUAUGUUACUUAGACUCCAUGUGAGUGUUGAAUACGGUUAUGUAAUAUCGAUAAUAAAUGUAAGACGGUUAAUAGGUAUGCCUGGGAUAACAGCAUAUAUUGGUUUCUAUGAGCUUUGUGCUCCAAAGAAAGGAGACUAUGUGUUUGUUUCAGCAGCAUGUGGUGCAGUUGGUCAGCUAGUGGGGCAAUUUGCCAAGCUCCAUGGUUGCCAUGUUGUUGGAAGUGCUGGUAGCCCAGAGAAGGUAGGCCCUUUGCAUGCUAUUCCUAUUCUUUUUAGGGCUAAUAUACUAUUUGAAUAAAAGCAUUGACUAGCUAAUUGAGUUUACCUCUGUUUAGGGUUUAGAGGAAGGAGAAAUGGAGGAGUCCAACAAUUAUGGCCACCAACAUCCCCUGCUUCUUAUCUUGAAUCAAGACCAGCUGAUCCACAAUCAAAGUGGUGUAACUCAUUGCUCCAGGUGCGGGGAGGAGGUGUCUGCUCCAUGUUUUUGCUGUGUGGAGCACUGUGGGUUUUAUCUUCACAAGGCAUGUGCCGACGCACCUUUGGAGCUUAAUCAUCCUUUUCAUCCCCAUCAUCCUCUUGUUCUUCUGCAAGAGCCACCAUCUUCUUACUCAGGGUGUGUUUGCGAUUUCUGUGAUGAACCAUGUACGAAUUUCAUUUAUCACUGCUCUUGCGCAUUGGACUUUCAUAUUAAAUGUGCUUUGUUAAUAUUUAAUAUUGCUGAGAAUAAUUUGAAAGAGCUUGAGCAUGUUGCCCUUCAAGAUGAAGAACUUGCAGAUGAAAAUAAGUGCUUUGGGUGUUGGGAACCAUUAGCAAAGUAUACACACUUUUCUCCCGACUGUGGAUUUAAUUUACAUGACAAAUGCGCCGAGCUUCCUUUCAAACUGAAUCUUGAGUGCCAUCGCGAACAUCCUCUUGUUCUACAAUUUAAUAGCGAAAGGCUCUCUUGCAAGAUAUGCUGCCUGGUGAGAACGCGAAGAGGAUUUGUUUAUGGUUGUUCUCCUUGUGAGUUUGUUGUUCACAUUGAAUGUGUAUCGCAAUCACCAUUACAAGUUAUUAAGAGUACAAAUCAUGAACAUCCAUUUACCUUGUUUAACGGGCACCAACAUCCCCUGUUUCUUAUGUUGAAUCAAGAGCAGCUGAUGGAUAAUCAAAGGGGUGUAACUGAUUGCUGGAGGUGUGGGGAGAAGGUGUCUGCUCCAUGUUUUUGCUGUGCGGAGCACUGUGGGUUUUAGCUUCAUAAGGUAUGUGCCGAGGCACCUUUGGAGCUUAAUCACCCUUUUCAUCUCAACCAUCCUCUUCUUAUGCAAAAUGCACCUUAUUCAUCCGGAAUGUACAUUUGCAAUUUUUGCAAUAAAUCUGGUCACAAGUCUGUUUAUCGCUGCUCUUCUUGUGAAUUGGACUUUCAUAUUAAAUGUGCUUUGUUUACAUUUAAUAUUGCUGAGAAUAAUUUGAAAGAGCUUGACCAUGUUGCCCUUCAAGUUGAAGAACUCCCACUGAAAAUGGUGAUGAAAAACUUAAAGAUGUUUCUAAGUGCUUUGGGUGCCGGGAACCAUUAGCAAAUUAUACACACUUUUCUCCUUGCCGUGGAUUUAACUUACAUGAGAAAUGCACUGAGAUUCCUUUCAAAUUGAAUCAUGUGUGGCAUCGCAAGCAUCCUCUUGUCCUACAAUUUAAUAGCGAACGCCUCUCUUGCAAGAUAUGCUGCCAGGUAACAAUGCGAAGAGGAUUUGUUUAUGGUUGUUCUCCUUGUAAGUUUGUUGUUCACAUUGAAUGUGCAUCGCAAUCACCAUUACAAGUUAUUAAUAGUACAAAUCAUGAACAUCCAUUCACCUUGUUGUUAAGACAAGUUCCAUUCACAUGUGAUGGGUGUGGCACUGAAGGAAAUCAUGUUGCCUAUACAUGUGGUACAUGCAACAUUAUAAUCCAUAAAAAUUGCAUUUCAUUGCCUCGCAUUAUCAAAAGUAAGUGGCAUGACCAUCGCCUUCUUCACACAUAUUUCCAUCACAUAGAAGAUUUUAGGGUUUUGAAUUGCCUAAGAUGCCAUGAUGAAGUCAAUACAGAGCACGGUAGUUACUAUUGUUCAAAGUGCAAUGGUAUAUUCCAUGUGAAGUGUGUAAUGAAGGAUAAAGAUUCAUAUGAAAUAGUAGAAAAUGAAGAUGAGAUUGAGAUGCCCAUUGAAAGUUUCAUCAUUGUUAUUGAGAGCAACGAUGCUGGAGAAGCUACAAAAAUAAAGCAUUUCAAGCAUAUGCAUAAUCUAAUGUUAGGUCCCUUUGUUGGAGGAUAUGAAAAUAGUUGCGACGGGUGUAUGUUGCCAAUCUCGGAUCCGUUUUACUACUGCUCAGAAUGUGCUUUUUUUCUUCAUAAAGCGUGUGCUGAGUUACCUAAGAUGAAGAAUGUUUGGCAUCAUGAUUGCAAAGAGCCUCUAGCCCUUAUUUCUGACGAAGCUUUUCAGUGUCAACGAUGUUGGUACAUAUCU
Molecule: long non-coding RNA, 8482 nt
Filed under: Gossypium raimondii (Peruvian cotton)
Lineage: Eukaryota; Viridiplantae; Streptophyta; Magnoliopsida; Malvales; Malvaceae
Description: long non-coding RNA (GRAI_LNC003342)
Source: RNAcentral